UAGUCCACGCCGUAAACGAUGUCAACUAGCCGUUGGAUUCCUUGAGGAUUUAGUGGCGCAGCUAACGCGAUAAGUUGACCGCCUGGGGAGUACGGCCGCAAGGUUAAAACUCAAAUGAAUUGACGGGGGCCCGCACAAGCGGUGGAGCAUGUGGUUUAAUUCGACGCAACGCGAAGAACCUUACCAGGUCUUGACAUCCUAGAAAUUUAGCAGAGAUGCUUUAGUGCCUUCGGGAAUCUAGUGACAGGUGCUGCAUGGCUGUCGUCAGCUCGUGCCGUGAGGUGUUGGGUUAAGUCCCGCAACGAGCGCAACCCUUGUCGUUAGUUGCCAUCAGACAGUGAUGUGCUGGGCACUCUAACGAGACUGCCCGUGAUAAGCGGGAGGAAGGUGGGGAUGACGUCAAGUCAGUAUGGUCCUUAUGCCCAGGGCUGCACACGUGCUACAAUGGACGGUACAAUGGGUAGCCAAACCGCGAGGUGGAGCCAAUCCCCAAAACCGUCCCCAGUUCGGA
RNAcentral lists this ribosomal RNA (511 nucleotides) under uncultured bacterium. RNAcentral's name for it is "bacterial SSU rRNA". It matches the Rfam family "Bacterial small subunit ribosomal RNA", at positions 791 to 1297 of the family's 1533-position model. The record is from RNAcentral.